UCAGCAACGGAUAUCUUGGCUCUUGCAACGAUGAAGAACGCAGCGAAAUGCGAUACUUAAUGUGAAUUGCAGAAUUCCGCGAAUCAUCGAGUCUUUGAACGCAAGUUGCGCCCGAGGCUUGUCCGAGGGCAUUUCCGCUAGAGCGUCACC
RNAcentral lists this ribosomal RNA (150 nucleotides) under Isopterygium tenerum. RNAcentral's name for it is "5.8S ribosomal RNA". It matches the Rfam family "5.8S ribosomal RNA". Rfam says of the family: 5.8S ribosomal RNA (5.8S rRNA) is a component of the large subunit of the eukaryotic ribosome. It is transcribed by RNA polymerase I as part of the 45S precursor that also contains 18S and 28S rRNA. Lineage: Eukaryota; Viridiplantae; Streptophyta; Bryopsida; Hypnales; Pylaisiadelphaceae. The record is from RNAcentral.